GUGCAUUCUUAAACCCUCCUGGCCGCCGCGCGCCGGCGCCUCCAGGAUACGAGUGAAUGCGAGAGCAAGUGCAGGAAGUCCAAAGGGCUGCGCGCCCUCCGUGGCUCAGCCCUAUUUCCUCCCUGCGACAGCU
Molecule: small nucleolar RNA, 133 nt
Organism: Dipodomys ordii (Ord's kangaroo rat)
Lineage: Eukaryota; Metazoa; Chordata; Mammalia; Rodentia; Heteromyidae
Source: Ensembl